GCUUCUGUAGUUUAAUGGAUAAAAUAUCUCCCUCCGAAGGAGAUGAUGCAGGUUCGAUUCCUGCCGGAAGCA
Molecule: transfer RNA, 72 nt
Filed under: Candidatus Adlerbacteria bacterium
Lineage: Bacteria; Candidatus Adleribacteriota
Description: tRNA-Arg
Rfam family: tRNA
About the family: Transfer RNA (tRNA) molecules are approximately 80 nucleotides in length. Their secondary structure includes four short double-helical elements and three loops (D, anti-codon, and T loops).
Source: RNAcentral